ACAAUCCGCCCGUCGCGUCGGUCUACAAAGCAAUUUCAUCCGCUCGGUGGAAGAUCUUCCCUUGGUCGU
This 69-nucleotide microRNA precursor is filed under the name Bombyx mori (domestic silkworm). Its description in RNAcentral is "mir-2774 microRNA precursor family". It matches the Rfam family "mir-2774 microRNA precursor family". Lineage: Eukaryota; Metazoa; Arthropoda; Insecta; Lepidoptera; Bombycidae. The record is from Rfam by way of RNAcentral.